UUUUAUUAGACAAAUUUUAAAACACAAAUGAACAGGAUGUGGAUAAAAGGAAAAAAACAAAACAAUACAGUGACGUUUAGAUGAAGAAAACCGGGGCAUUUUCUCCCAGAUUUUGUCAAACAAUAAAACCAGAUUCAACUCAGCAUCAACUUAGACCUAAACAAGGACUAAAGUAGGACUAUACUAGGUCUAAACCAGAUUAAAUGAACUAAAUCAGUUCCAACCCAAGACAAAAUUUUGGCUAAACCAGAUCUAAACUAGGACUAUACCCAGACUAUACUAGGUCUAAAUCAAAACUAAAUUGGGUCUAAACCUGGGAUAAACAAGGACUAAACUAGGACUAAAUGAAGACCAAAUCAAGUUCUAAAUAAGGAGUAAACCGGGACUGUACCAUGUCUAAACCAGGACUAUACUAGAACAAAAUCAGGACCAAAUCAAGAUAAAAUUUUGUCUGAACCAGGAUUAUUUAAAUCAGUUUUAAAUAAGGAUUAAAUUAAGAUUAAACAAGGUCUAGACCAGAACUAAAUCAGGGCUAAACCAGGACUAUACGAGGUCUAAAUCGUGACUAAAUCAAGUUCUAAAUAAGUAUUAAACCAGGUCUAAACUAGGACUACACUAGGUCGAAACCAGGUCUAAAUAAAUCAGGACUAAACCAGUUCCAAACCAGGACAAUAUUUUGGCUAAACCAGGACUAUUUUAUGUCUAAAUCAAGAUUAAAUCAGUUCUAAAUAAGGACUAAACAAGGUCUAGACCCAGACUAAAUAAUGAGUAAACCAGGACUGUACUAGGACUAAACCAGGUCUAAACCAGGACUAAUUCAGGACUAAACCAGGACCAAACCAAGACAUUUUGGCUAAACCAGGAUUAUACCAGGACUAUUUUAGGGUUAAAUCAAGACUAAAUCAGUUUUAAAUAAGGAUUAAACUAAGACUAAACAAGGUCUAAACCAGAACUAAAUCAGGACUAAACAAGGUCUAAACUAGGUCAAAAUCAAGACUGAAUCAGGUCUAAACAAGGACUAAAUCAGGACUAAUCCACAUUUAUACUAGGUCUAAAUCGAGAAUAAAUCGGUUCUAAACAAAGACUAAACCAGAACUAAUCCAGGACAAAAUUUUGGCUAAACCAAGUCUGAACCAGGUUUAAACCAGGAUCAAACCAGGUCUUCUAAACCAGGACUAUACUAGGUCUAAACUCGGUCUCAAUAAACAGUUUAUAAAAGUGAAAAAGAAAGACUACAGUCACAUGUUGAUGAAGAAAACUGGGACAUUUUCUCAGUUUUCCCAGAUUUUGUUCGAGUCGCCAACAGAACCAGAGGAAAUCUUCAUCCACAUGUUUCCAAACGUCGACCGUCCCAAAGUCCUGACCAGACCCGGACCUGCCCGUCUGACGUCUGAAGGUUGAACAUCGAAGUCGUCGCUGUGUCAAACCUCUGUUACAUGUUUGUAUCAUGUUGUUUCUCGUCUCCUUUUUUUUUUUUUUUUUUGUAUUUAUUUAUUUUGUGAACAUAAACGAGAAUCUCUAAA
Long non-coding RNA from Boleophthalmus pectinirostris (great blue-spotted mudskipper), 1523 nucleotides. RefSeq lists it as uncharacterized. The transcript is spliced from 2 exons. NCBI's taxonomy places the organism in Eukaryota, Metazoa, Chordata, Actinopteri, Gobiiformes, Gobiidae. The record is from RefSeq and is a predicted model, not a curated record.